UAGCUAAUACCGCAUAACGUCGCAAGACCAAAGAGGGGGACCUUCGGGCCUCUUGCCAUCGGAUGUGCCCAGAUGGGAUUAGCUAGUAGGUGGGGUAACGGCUCACCUAGGCGACGAUCCCUAGCUGGUCUGAGAGGAUGACCAGCCACACUGGAACUGAGACACGGUCCAGACUCCUACGGGAGGCAGCAGUGGGGAAUAUUGCACAAUGGGCGCAAGCCUGAUGCAGCCAUGCCGCGUGUAUGAAGAAGGCCUUCGGGUUGUAAAGUACUUUCAGCGGGGAGGAAGGGAGUAAAGUUAAUACCUUUGCUCAUUGACGUUACCCGCAGAAGAAGCACCGGCUAACUCCGUGCCAGCAGCCGCGGUAAUACGGAGGGUGCAAGCGUUAAUCGGAAUUACUGGGCGUAAAGCGCACGCAGGCGGUUUGUUAAGUCAGAUGUGAAAUCCCCGGGCUCAACCUGGGAACUGCAUCUGAUACUGGCAAGCUUGAGUCUCGUAGAGGGGGGUAGAAUUCCAGGUGUAGCGGUGAAAUGCGUAGAGAUCUGGAGGAAUACCGGUGGCGAAGGCGGCCCCCUGGACGAAGACUGACGCUCAGGUGCGAAAGCGUGGGGAGCAAACAGGAUU
RNAcentral lists this ribosomal RNA (624 nucleotides) under Escherichia coli. Its description in RNAcentral is "partial 16S ribosomal RNA". It matches the Rfam family "Bacterial small subunit ribosomal RNA", at positions 160 to 779 of the family's 1533-position model. The record is from RNAcentral. RNAcentral also lists the same sequence under 1 other name. Lineage: Bacteria; Pseudomonadati; Pseudomonadota; Gammaproteobacteria; Enterobacterales; Enterobacteriaceae.